AGCAGUCGCCGCGGUAAUACGUAGGUGGCAAGCGUUGUCCGGAAUUAUUGGGCGUAAAGCGAGCGCAGGCGGUUAGAUAAGUCUGAAGUUAAAGGCUGUGGCUUAACCAUAGUACGCUUUGGAAACUGUUUAACUUGAGUGCAGAAGGGGAGAGUGGAAUUCCAUGUGUAGCGGUGAAAUGCGUAGAUAUAUGGAGGAACACCGGUGGCGAAAGCGGCUCUCUGGUCUGUAACUGACGCUGAGGCUCGAAAGCGUGGGGAGCGAACAGGAUUAGAUACCCCUGUAGUCCCUGUCUCUUAUACA
RNAcentral lists this ribosomal RNA (303 nucleotides) under uncultured bacterium. RNAcentral describes it as "partial 16S ribosomal RNA". It matches the Rfam family "Bacterial small subunit ribosomal RNA", at positions 507 to 808 of the family's 1533-position model. The record is from RNAcentral.